GGAAAAUGUCUCUGGAAACUACAAGCUAGGAUGAACUUGACAACUGGGGCAGGAACACCGUGUGUGCACCCACAACGAACCGCGCCAGUUUGAGCUGAAACCAAAAAAAGUUAAGAAAGUGUCUAAGCGAAGCCGCACGAGCUCGCAGAGCUAAUCGCUUCAAGACGGUUGAGGAGCGAACAGGAUCACUGAGGCUGAGGCUUAUUCGUUCAAGAGAGGAUGAGAGCCGGAGAGGAGCUACAACCUGCAGAGAGGAAGGCCGGUGGGGGGGGAUAAGUAUAGAGAGCAGCGAUAAAGAGGUGAACAGACCGCCGCUGCCUUCCUCAUUCAGCCCCACGCAGAGGAUGAAUCUGUUUGCCUCCUGCGUGGAGACAAAAAUAGCUCCUAAUAAUGAAAGAUUGAUGCAAACCUGCAGGGUUGUGCAGGCUGCAGCCGUUAUAGUGGCUGGCUGCAUUCGGAAACACCAGGAGGACUGACAUCUCAAUGGACUCCCUAUUCCAUCACUAUCAGCUUACAGCCUAUAAUUACGCCCAAUCAUCUCGGAUCAAGCCUUUCGGCCUGAACGGCCCAGCGUAACAUCUGCUGCCUGGACGACCCGGCUUAGGGGGACUUUCAUAUGGGAAGAAUCGAUAGUUUCUGCAGCGUUCUUGACGGAAUGCAUCGAAGCGUGCUGCACAGCCUAAUGGACCCACAAGUUCCCAUCUGUUAGUGGAGGAGAUCCCAGCGAGUCCUCCCCUUUUCCUGUCCAAACACAAAACUCAGAGAGCAGGGAAAAAAAAAAAAAAAGCUGAUCAUUUCUAUUAGAAUUGCGGAAAACAAACAGACAAUCGCAGGACGGACAUGUGGUCCUUAACCGUUCAGGAAUUUUACAAGCAAGAAAACUGCAAAAUGUGUUUUGUUCUCAACUCGUUCUGUUGGUUUCAAACAUGACUUGUUAUUACAGGCAUUCAAUGUUAUUCUGCAUUUUUGAUGGUGUGCUAUUGCAUCUAUUUGCAUGGAAACGUGUGGACACUAUUGAAAUGAGGUACUGUGGUCAUAUGAGAAUUUAAGGGGAGACCGCUAUGACAACACUAAACUUACAGCCGAGGCUUCAGCCUAGGCUAACCGUUCUAACAUCUAAGUGUUAGAAUGACCUAGUCAAAGUCAUUUGGUCAGUCAGACUGAGAUUGCCCCAUUUGUGGGGAAGAAUGGCAAACCCCAGAAGACAUGUGGCUAUAACUGAAGCAAAAUAUGGUUUUAUAAAUGAUUGACUCAAGGAGCCUAAACACAACUGUAUGCCACACUUUUCAGAUUUUAGUUGUAGGGUUUUUGAAAACUUGAUGUUGGUCUAUCACAUGGUGUGCAACUUGUGGCUCUGGAGCUGCAAGUGG
Molecule: long non-coding RNA, 1370 nt
Organism: Poecilia latipinna (sailfin molly)
Lineage: Eukaryota; Metazoa; Chordata; Actinopteri; Cyprinodontiformes; Poeciliidae
Exons: 5
Source: RefSeq, a predicted model, not a curated record